This 508-nucleotide ribosomal RNA is filed under the name uncultured cyanobacterium. RNAcentral's name for it is "bacterial SSU rRNA". It matches the Rfam family "Bacterial small subunit ribosomal RNA", at positions 67 to 587 of the family's 1533-position model. The record is from RNAcentral. Lineage: Bacteria; Bacillati; Cyanobacteriota.
CGGUCACAUUUCGGUGUGAUAGUGGCGGACGGGUGAGUACACGUAGUUACCUACCCUGAAGUGGGGAAUACCCCUCGAAAGAGGAGCUAAUACCGCAUACUCUCUCAGUCGUUAGAUUGAGAGGAAACCCGAAAGGGGCUUUAGGAUGGGACUGCGGCGGAUUAGCUAGAUGGUGGGGUAAAGGCCUACCAUGGCGACGAUCCGUAGCUGGUCUGAGAGGACGAUCAGCCACACUGGGACUGAGAUACGGCCCAGACUCCUACGGGAGGCAGCAGUGAGGAAUAUUCCACAAUGGGCGAAAGCCUGAUGGAGCGACGCCGCGUGGGGGAAGACGCCUUUCGGGGUGUAAACCUCUUUUCUCGGGGAUGAAACGUAGGGGUAACCCUACUAAGACAGUACCUGAGGAAUAAGCAUCGGCUAACUACGUGCCAGCAGCCGCGGUAAUACGUAGGAUGCAAGCGUUGUCCGGAUUUACUGGGCGUAAAGCGCGCGCAGGCGGAACACCAAG